GUAUCAGCUGGCACCUCAAAGUUUGAAUUCGGUUCCCGGGACUGAGGGGCCAGAGAUUUAAUUCAAUCUCUAUUUAAAGAGGCACUGAUCCCAGAACAGCAAGGGAUUCUUCAAGGAGCUUGUUGUUUAAUAAGGAGAAGGAGGCAGAACACCAUGGAGACUUCUCCUGAAAUAGGUGCUGCCACAGAAUGCAGGGGAAGUGCUCCUGGAGACAGAGCAGACAGCACUCCAUGACUCUGAUGAAGGGAGAGGUGUAGGCGCCACAACAAGGUGGUGUUUGGUGUGGACCCUGAGGGAGGGAGAGAAGUCCACAGAUGGGAGCAGGGUGAGGCGGAGAGUAUCAUGACUAAAAGCUCAGAGGGGGGAAACCUGGAGGUGGUCGGAGCACAGCAAGUCUGAGGUUGGGCUGAAGAGCAGACAAAGUGAGGACGUUAUCCUCAGGCAUCUCCAGGCUCAAUUACACGUUUCCUUGGUCCAGUAUUAAAAUCAGAUUUUCUUUCCUGAGCACACACAAAUGGACCUGGCAAAGCGAAGACAUAGAUGUGCUGUGUGAUGGGGGAAGCCACUCAGGAUUAAAAUACUGCCAUAUCUCAGCCUCUCCAAGGUGCAGCCACCAUGAUCUCAGCAGACUGAUGAUGGAAGAAAAGGAAACA
Molecule: long non-coding RNA, 653 nt
Organism: Equus quagga
Lineage: Eukaryota; Metazoa; Chordata; Mammalia; Perissodactyla; Equidae
Exons: 3
Source: RefSeq, a predicted model, not a curated record